Molecule: ribosomal RNA, 490 nt
Filed under: uncultured bacterium
Lineage: Bacteria
Description: partial 16S ribosomal RNA
Rfam family: Bacterial small subunit ribosomal RNA
Source: RNAcentral
AUUGAACGCUGGCGGCAGGCCUAACACAUGCAAGUCGAACGGUAACAGGAAGCAGCUUGCUGCUUUGCUGACGAGUGGCGGACGGGUGAGUAAUGUCUGGGAAACUGCCCGAUGGAGGGGGAUAACUACUGGAAACGGUAGCUAAUACCGCAUAACGUCGCAAGACCAGAGAGGGGGACCUUAGGGCCUCUUGCCAUCGGAUGUGCCCAGAUGGGAUUAGCUAGUAGGUGGGGUAACGGCUCACCUAGGCGACGAUCCCUAGCUGGUCUGAGAGGAUGACCAGCCACACUGGAACUGAGACACGGUCCAGACUCCUACAGGAGGCAGCAGUGGGGAAUAUUGCACAAUGGGCGCAAGCCUGAUGCAGCCAUGCCGCGUGUAUGAAGAAGGCCUUCGGGUUGUAAAGUACUUUCAGCGGGGAGGAAGGGAGUAAAGUUAAUACCUUUGCUCAUUGACGUUACCCGCAGAAGAAGCACCGGCUAACUCCGUG